AUGUGGAAUUUGUUAGUUUUAUAUGUCGUGUCAAAUCAUGUGUGUGGUUGUCCAGCUGCAUGUCUUCCACUAACUAGUCAAUCAAAGGAUUGUCUCUUUUGUGCGAUCGCAUGUGCAAAAGCAUCCCGGGGCUUUCCAGCAUCUUGUGAUUGUGGUUGA
This 159-nucleotide ribosomal RNA is filed under the name Triticum aestivum (bread wheat). Its description in RNAcentral is "partial small subunit ribosomal RNA". Lineage: Eukaryota; Viridiplantae; Streptophyta; Magnoliopsida; Poales; Poaceae. The record is from RNAcentral.